RNAcentral lists this ribosomal RNA (864 nucleotides) under uncultured SAR324 cluster bacterium. RNAcentral describes it as "SSU rRNA". It matches the Rfam family "Bacterial small subunit ribosomal RNA", at positions 22 to 901 of the family's 1533-position model. Lineage: Bacteria; Deltaproteobacteria. The record is from RNAcentral.
GCUCAGGACGAACGCUGGCGGCAUGCCUAACACAUGCAAGUCGAACGAGAAAGUUCCUUCGGGAGCGAUUAAAGUGGCGCACGGGUGAGUAACGCGUAGACAAUCUGCCCUUCAGUCUGGGACAACUUUUCGAAAGGAGAGCUAAUACCGGAUAACAAUGUUUAACCUAAGUUAAGUAUUUGAAAGCUUUAUGUGCUGAAGGAGGGGUCUGCGUCCCAUUAGCUAGUUGGUAAGGUAAAGGCUUACCAAGGCGACGAUGGGUAGCGGGUUUGAGAGGACGAUCCGCCACACUGGAACUGAGACACGGUCCAGACUCCUACGGGAGGCAGCAGUGGGGAAUAUUGCACAAUGGAGGCAACUCUGAUGCAGCAAUGUCGCGUGAGUGAAGAAGGCCCUUGGGUCGUAAAGCUCUUUUAUGGGGGAAGAUGAUGACGGUACCCCAAGAAUAAGCACCGGCUAACUAUGUGCCAGCAGCCGCGGUAAUACAUAGGGUGCGAGCGUUGUUCGGAAUUACUGGGCGUAAAGGGCGCGCAGGCGGAAUAGUAAGUCGGAGGUGAAAGCCCGGGGCUCAACCCCGGAGGGUCUUUCGAAACUGCUAAUCUAGAGAGGGUCAGGGGCCGGCAGAAUUCCUGGUGUAGAGGUGAAAUUCGUAGAUAUCAGGAGGAAUACCGGUGGCGAAGGCGGCCGGCUGGGGCCACUCUGACGCUGAGGCGCGAAAGCGUGGGGAGCAAACAGGAUUAGAUACCCUGGUAGUCCACGCCGUAAACGAUGAGCACUGGACGUCCGGAGGGUUCGACCCUUCUGGGUGUUUCAGCUAACGCAUUAAGUGCUCCGCCUGGGGAGUACGGUCGCAAGACUAAAACU